Molecule: long non-coding RNA, 691 nt
Filed under: Bos grunniens (domestic yak)
Lineage: Eukaryota; Metazoa; Chordata; Mammalia; Artiodactyla; Bovidae
Description: lncRNA (ENSBGRG00000019500.1)
Source: RNAcentral
UCAUGGGACUUUUGUGGGUUUGGCCAGAGGGUGGGAUGGGCCCUAAGGCAGAGAAUUGAAGUGACUCUUCUGCUGGGUCUGUUUCGUCUUCACACACACAAAGUGGGCCUGGGUGAGGGCUGACAGGUGAGGACUGAGGGGAGAUAGAUUGGGUUCAGUCAAUAGAGACGCAGAAGUGCAGUGGUUUGGGGAAGGAAGAUGGUGUAGUUCAACCUCAUGGUCUUCCAAUCUAGGAAGCGGAGAUCCAGAGGACCCACAGCUGGUGGGGGCAGAAGCAGUCAGUCUUGGUGCUCGUGCUAAGUCAUCAGAGAGGCCUUCCUUCAUUGUUUAGCCACCACGGUCCCCUCCUGCCCUGCCCACACUGUUGGUUUCUAACACAUUGCCUGUCUGCACAAGAAAAGCAAGGCCCUGGAGAACAUCUUUGGCCCCAGGAAUAGCAGCCUGCAAAGUGCAGAUGGGGAUCUAGGGCUUCUACCUUGACAUUUGGAUCAUAGAGAGUGGAGACCAAACAAUCCCAUCUAUGAAGAGAUAAAGAGACUGAACUUCAGCAUGGAGCGCUGCAUCAGUGUCUGUCUUUGAAGGAUAUUGAGACGACAGAUUUGGAGGACCAGGUACACCAAAACACCACUUCCCUCAAGAACAGCAUGACCAUCCAUUGCUGAAACAACCCAUGUACCUUUUUUUGAAAUAU